UUCAAGUGCUAAAUGACAAAUACCCUCUUUUGAUGUGUUGUCAUUCAUUCCAAUAUCUUUUAAUUUAGUUCCAUUUCUUACAAUUGAUAGAAAAACUUUGAACUCUAAUGAUGAUCUUCAGGAAAACAAAUAUCUGAAUUUGCUCAAGCAUUGUGGAUUCUGCCUCUUAAGUUUAGAAAUGGCUCAAGAUUUUAUCAGCACUACAUACUUUUAGAUGUUAGGCCUUCAUUUGUGGUUAAACUAGCUAUCAGUCGGCCAUGGUAGCAUGAAAGUGUUUGCCUAUUUUCGUUUGACAAAAACAUAGUCAUUUUACACAACAGAAAUUAUAUUAUGAAAACAUUUAGGGAAAACACAGAUUCAUAAUCUGAUUUCUUCUUCUCAACUAUAUAUAUUUUCAACCAUGAUUUAUGGUUCAAUCAUCUUUUCCUGAAACAGGACUAUAUAGGCACCAAAAUUGUGGCUUUUUUAGAAACACUGUGCAAAUAAUUCUUGCCAUGUCUCUAUAGUUGUUGGGUUUCAUUAUUAUGUUAUGAAUAGGUGAAGCUAAGAAUAAUAGUUCGUAAAUUUAAAAGGUAGCAGGCUAAUUGCACUCUCAGUCGUGAAUAUAUGUGCAUGUGAGGAGCUAAAGGUCAAACACUGUUUCAC
This 645-nucleotide long non-coding RNA is filed under the name Homo sapiens (human). RNAcentral's name for it is "HSALNT0042300". Lineage: Eukaryota; Metazoa; Chordata; Mammalia; Primates; Hominidae. The record is from RNAcentral.